RNAcentral lists this small nucleolar RNA (104 nucleotides) under Tupaia belangeri chinensis (Chinese tree shrew). RNAcentral's name for it is "Tupaia chinensis (Chinese tree shrew) Small nucleolar RNA U13". It matches the Rfam family "Small nucleolar RNA U13". The record is from Rfam by way of RNAcentral. Lineage: Eukaryota; Metazoa; Chordata; Mammalia; Scandentia; Tupaiidae.
AUCCUUUUGUAGCUCGUAAGCGUGAUGAGUGGGUGUUCACUCUAUUGUUCAAGAUGAGCUUUUCUCAUGCAUUGUUAUAUCAUCAACAUAGCACUUGUCUGAUA